AACGAACGCUGGCGGCGUGCCUAACACAUGCAAGUCGAACGCGAAAGGGGGCAACCCCCGGUAGCGUGGCAGACGGGUGAGUAACACGUGGGUAACCUACCCGGAGGUGGGGGAUAACCCUUCGAAAGGAGGGCUAAUACCGCAUGACAUCGCGGGGACUUCGGUCCUUGCGAUCAAAGCUGGCCUCUGUUUACAAGCUAGCGCCACCGGAUGGGCCCGCGCCCCAUUAGCUAGUUGGUGAGGUAACGGCUCACCAAGGCGACGAUGGGUAGCCGGCCUGAGAGGGCGAUCGGCCACACUGGAACUGCGACACGGUCCAGACUCCUACGGGAGGCAGCAGUGAGGAAUAUUGCGCAAUGGGCGAAAGCCUGACGCAGCGACGCCGCGUGGAGGAUGAAGGUCUUCGGAUUGUAAACUCCUGUCGAGUGGGACGAAUGCCGUGAGGGUGAAUACCCCUCGCGGUUGACGGUACCGCUGGAGGAAGCCCCGGCUAACUCCGUGCCAGCCGCCGCCGUAA
RNAcentral lists this ribosomal RNA (517 nucleotides) under uncultured bacterium. RNAcentral's name for it is "partial 16S ribosomal RNA". It matches the Rfam family "Bacterial small subunit ribosomal RNA", at positions 28 to 523 of the family's 1533-position model. The record is from RNAcentral.